CGCUCCAUGUCUAAAGAAAAUAUGGAGUCGGACCUGCCCGGUGAACAUUUUAACGGCCGCGGUACUCUGACCGUGCAAAGGUAGCAUAAUAACUUGCCUUAUAAUUGAAGGCUGGAAUGAAUGGUUUGACAAGAAUAAAGCUGUCUCUUAGUAGUUAAUUAGAACUUUAUUUGUAGGUGAAAAAGCCUAUAUUAUAUUGAUAGACAAGAAGACCCUAUCGAGCUUUAAAAGAAUGACAUGUUAUAUUUCAAUUUAUUUUGGUUGGGGCGACAAAGGAACAAAUAAAGCUUCCUUAAGGAGAAAUACAAACAAGUUAUGAUCCAAACUAUUUGAUUAAAGGAAUUAGUUACCGUAGGGAUAACAGCAUUAUCCUCUUUGAGAGUUCAUAUCGAAAAGGGGGUUUGUGACCUCGAUGUUGGACCAGGGUAUCCUAAAGAUGUAGCAGUCUUUAAGGGUUGGUCUGUUCGACCAUUAAAACUCUACGUGAUCUGAGUUCAGACCGGCGUGAGCCAGGUCAGUUUCUAUCUUCAAUUUUAAAGGCGAAUCUAGUACGAAAGGACCGACUUCCCCAAAGAAAUUGUUUUUAAGAUGUUGUAUAACGGAAGAUUAUCAAAUUAGCAAAAAGAAUGCGAUUGACUUAGGAUCAAUAGGUAUGGUGAAAAUCCUUAUUUGAUAUAAAGAUGGCAGAAUA
This 691-nucleotide ribosomal RNA is filed under the name Quoyula monodonta. RNAcentral's name for it is "partial 16S ribosomal RNA". The stretch from base 1 to 572 matches the Rfam family "Bacterial large subunit ribosomal RNA", at positions 1817 to 2925 of the family's 2925-position model. The record is from RNAcentral. Lineage: Eukaryota; Metazoa; Mollusca; Gastropoda; Neogastropoda; Muricidae.